AUUCAGUCAUACCAAUAACUGCUAUUUCUACCAAUAUAUUCACCCUCAUAAUCUCCAACUGUAAUACCUCAACAUCACAGCUUCAUCACACAAUUAUCCUCAUUUCAAUUAUUGGAAUUCUUCACACAAAACUACCAUUCACAUUACAGUGUUUCACACAACCACAGAUUCACUCUUUCUGCUGAACUAUAUUCAGAUUUCAGCAUUCAAUCUCUCUUCUUCUCAUUCAAUAACAUAUAAUUCCAUUCACACUUUCAUUCCAUGAUUCACUUCACAAUAUUCAGAAACUCUCAAUACUCUUAUUUCAAAGAACAUAACAACAAAAGAAAAGAGGUAGCACCAAGCUUACCCCGGCUCACACUAUCACAGUAAUGGCGGUUUCUUCCUCUCUUUCAUCCUCCUUAUCCUACCACAAGAUACCAACUGCUACAUCUCUAAUGAAAACUACUUUUCCUAACUAUUCAUCCAUUUUAACUACUCAACUACCUUUCUAACAGUCAUCUAUCCCUGUUUACACUAUAAACUAAGUAUCUACAAAUCAGCAAAUAACUACUUAUUCUACACAUACACAACAGAACUCAAAAAAUCUUUAAAUUUGUAAACAUAUUUUUAUUUCUCAAAAAUCUAGAAUA
RNAcentral lists this long non-coding RNA (632 nucleotides) under Physcomitrium patens. RNAcentral's name for it is "long non-coding RNA (PPAT_LNC008250)". The record is from RNAcentral. Lineage: Eukaryota; Viridiplantae; Streptophyta; Bryopsida; Funariales; Funariaceae.